AACCCAUGGUGAAGUCAUCUUCUUAAUAAAUCUUUAUACAUCUCCCAUGCUUCAUAUAGAGUCUCUAAAUUGAUUUGAAUAAAUGAAGAGAUGUCAUUCCUCAACUU
Gossypium hirsutum (cotton) is the source of this 107-nucleotide non-coding RNA. NCBI's taxonomy places the organism in Eukaryota, Viridiplantae, Streptophyta, Magnoliopsida, Malvales, Malvaceae. The record is from Rfam.